RNA transcript from Salvia splendens (bonfire salvia), 1723 nucleotides. RefSeq lists it as uncharacterized. The record is from RefSeq and is a predicted model, not a curated record. NCBI's taxonomy places the organism in Eukaryota, Viridiplantae, Streptophyta, Magnoliopsida, Lamiales, Lamiaceae. The transcript is spliced from 5 exons.
UCAGGAUUCCAUGUUGAGAGAAUCGAUCAAGCACUUCUUCACUUCAUACCACACCGGCAGCUCGGAUUUCUCCUCUUUCGAGUCCAUUUUCUUCUGUUUGAUCCAGACAAUGCUCGACCCCCCACUCGAAAUCACUUGGUUCUACGCCGCAAUCACAUUUCACACCGCAAAGCGGAACAGCCCUUCCUCUAGGGUGCUGAUAUCUAAGGAUUUAUUGAGAUUAUUCAUUCGGUGCUCUAAUUUGAGCAGCGCACCGAAGAAGAUCGCGCUGCUGGCCCCUGUUGUAUAUGAUUUGUACAGUAUUGUGUGUGAUACUCGGGCGAUUGAGCCGCACGAGAGGAUUGAGGUUGGGAAAUUGGUGGAGAAUAUGGUUUCCCACGUGAUGGUAUCGGCUGGGGUUUACAAUUACGGGAGCGAGGAUGUCGAGUGUGAUAACGCUGUGGUGUGUUUCGAGGAUUUGGUCCACAUUUGGACUACUGACCGAGGUGGGGGGGAGUUGCAACUUUGGCGAAGCUUUGAGGACGUUCUUCCCUCUUUUGAGUGACGGAACUUGGAAGAGGAUGAAUGCUGGUUGUGGGAUGCGGGAGCUCGUGGGGAUUGUUCUGUUGGAAGUGUUCUUUCUCAGGCUUUACAUGAGUUUUAGUUCCGGGAUGAGUACAGAGGAUAUCCUGAAGGAUACACGAGACCAAGCGGUUCAACCGGAACAUCUACUUUUUAGAUAUGCUCCUCAAGAUUCUGUCAGGACCCACCUUGCCUAUUGUAGCCUCAAUGAGCCAUGUAGAUGGAGUUCUUCUACAUAAAGUGUUAUAUGAUGCUGUUAUUUUGGUCGACUAUCCAUUUCAUUCCGGGAGGUGGGUCCAGUCAUCUGUCAGUCAAUUGAAGAAGUUGGCUCUAGCAUGGGUGUUGGCUGUUGACCACGCCAUUGAGUUUGCUAGAUCAACCUCGGGCCGUUUCUUACCUUAUUGCUUUCAGAGAAUGUCAAUUGGUGGCUGAGUUAAUAAAGUGGGUCUGUAACCAAGCUAUAAUUUUUUUACUUUAAUACCAUACCCGACAUCACCAAUCCCAGAGCUCUAAUCCAGUGGCUAUUUGUCCUUAAUGGUCAGGGGAUUGAUAUAUUCGAUCAUAGCUUGAAAAUGCUCUAUGCAAAGGCAGUGGAGAGUGGGCCACCUGAACUCACACUACGUACAGGUAAUCUCAAUGUGUGUAUCACUGAUCUCAACACGAGUGGUGAAAGCGAGGACAGAAAAAUGGGCAAUGAGCCUGACAACGGUGCUCUAGGGGGGCUUUGCCCGGCAAGCGCGAAAAAUGGCAGUGGCAGAAAGCGCAAAGAGGCUCUGAGUGGUUCACGCAAACAACAGGUGAAGCAGGUCAAGCUCGAUCAUCUUGGAAGUGCUGUUAGGAACAAUUUCUUAUCUUUAUCCAGUGGCGGUGGACCAGAUAGCGGCGCCGUCUUGGUUGAGAACAUUGCCUCCGAUGAUGACAUGGACCUCGCAGGAUGAGUUUCCGUGCAGGAUGGUGGAUUUGGCCUUGUUCGUUGCAACCCAAGUGUCGGCCUCUUCUUUCACAGGUGAUGUGAAAAUACAAGGACCAUAACUAUGUUACUUUGUGUACUUCAAAAAAAACAUGAGACUUGACAUGAUGCUAUGCCAUAUGAAACCUGCUUAAAUUUUCUCUUGCAUUUGUGGGAUUUCAUGUUUUGCUCUAUCUAUAUUGAGUUUUAUCA